GUGGGGAAUAUUGCACAAUGGGGGAAACCCUGAUGCAGCAACGCCGCGUGAGUGAAGAAGUAUUUCGGUAUGUAAAGCUCUAUCAGCAGGGAAGAAAAUGACGGUACCUGACUAAGAAGCCCCGGCUAACUACGUGCCAGCAGCCGCGGUAAUACGUAGGGGGCAAGCGUUAUCCGGAUUUACUGGGUGUAAAGGGAGCGCAGGCGGUCUGGCAAGUCUGAUGUGAAAUCCCGGGGCUCAACUCCGGAAUUGCAUUGGAAACUGUCAGACUAGAGUGCCGGAGAGGUAAGUGGAAUUCCUAGUGUAGCGGUGAAAUGCGUAGAUAUUAGGAGGAACACCAGUGGCGAAGGCGGCUUACUGGACGGUAACUGACGCUGAGGCUCGAAAGCGUGGGGAGCAAACAGGAUUAGAAACCCUAGUAGUCC
RNAcentral lists this ribosomal RNA (425 nucleotides) under uncultured bacterium. RNAcentral describes it as "bacterial SSU rRNA". It matches the Rfam family "Bacterial small subunit ribosomal RNA", at positions 354 to 796 of the family's 1533-position model. The record is from RNAcentral.